GGCAUUUUCCUCAGCUUGGAGUUAAUGACAGCCAUUCAAACACAAACAGGUAGUCUCACAUGGUCUCUGCAGCAGACAUCAUGACCAUAGUGAUGAAGGAAACAUCUCUUCAUCAUUUUGUUGUCCCUGGUUUUGCAGAAAAGAGGGAAAAUGAGUAUUAUCCAGCGUUCAGAGGAGGCAAAGAAGAAAGAAGCACAUAAUUGGCAAAUUCCUGAGAAAGUGUCACUCAAAACAUGAUGGGAGUCUCCAAGGAAAAGUUGCUUUCCUUUCAAAGUAUUCCCAUUAAAAAGCUUUGAAAACUUGCCUCUGAAAACUUAUUUCAAGGCUGUGCCUUCUCUGAGAUCUAAUCAAGGCUGCACAUCUAAAACUAUAUAAAUUAACACUCUCAUUAGGGCCCUGAAUAGCUACAGGCUGUGUAUGAGACUCAGUAAAACAUCCCCAUUUAAAUGUAAAUUUUGACAUUCCACCCAAGAUGGAGAAAAAAAGUCUCCCCA
RNAcentral lists this long non-coding RNA (494 nucleotides) under Phascolarctos cinereus (koala). Its description in RNAcentral is "lncRNA (ENSPCIG00000015070.2)". The record is from RNAcentral. Lineage: Eukaryota; Metazoa; Chordata; Mammalia; Diprotodontia; Phascolarctidae.